This 229-nucleotide long non-coding RNA is filed under the name Elaeis guineensis (African oil palm). RNAcentral describes it as "long non-coding RNA (EGUI_LNC059767)". Lineage: Eukaryota; Viridiplantae; Streptophyta; Magnoliopsida; Arecales; Arecaceae. The record is from RNAcentral.
CUUCAUUUUUGACUUAGAAUAUUGUGGGUCCAUAUCUGGCAUGUGCUCCACUACUUUCUCCUACAGGCUGUCCACUUGAGUCAUAAAAAAUGAACAUAGCGUACCUUGGGCCCCUCAUGGGUGGCCACGGCAUAAUCGUAGGCUAGACCUCGGCUGUUGGUGAUUCUCAUGUCAAGGUGUGUGAGCAGAGGGCAUCACAUGCAAAUAACUUUGGAUUUGCCACCCCCCC